GACGAACGCUGGCGGCGUGCUUAACACAUGCAAGUCGAACGGAAAGGCCCUGCUUUUGUGGGGUGCUCGAGUGGCGAACGGGUGAGUAACACGUGAGUAACCUGCCCUUGACUUUGGGAUAACUUCAGGAAACUGGGGCUAAUACCGGAUAGGAGCUCCUGCUGCAUGGUGGGGGUUGGAAAGUUUCGGCGGUUGGGGAUGGACUCGCGGCUUAUCAGCUUGUUGGUGGGGUAGUGGCUUACCAAGGCUUUGACGGGUAGCCGGCCUGAGAGGGUGACCGGCAACAUUGGGACGAGGAUACGGCCCAGACUCCUACGGGAGGAAGCGGUGGGGAAUAUUGCACAAUGGGCGGAAGCCUGAUGCAGAAACGCCGGGUGCGGGAUGACGGCCUUCGGGUUGUAAACCGCUUUCGCCUGUGACGAAGCGUGAGUGACGGUAAUGGGUAAAGAAGCACCGGCUAACUACGU
Molecule: ribosomal RNA, 467 nt
Filed under: uncultured bacterium
Lineage: Bacteria
Description: partial 16S ribosomal RNA
Rfam family: Bacterial small subunit ribosomal RNA
Source: RNAcentral